This 460-nucleotide ribosomal RNA is filed under the name uncultured bacterium. RNAcentral describes it as "partial 16S ribosomal RNA". It matches the Rfam family "Bacterial small subunit ribosomal RNA", at positions 338 to 795 of the family's 1533-position model. The record is from RNAcentral.
CCUACGGGCGGCAGCAGUGAGGAAUAUUGGUCAAUGGACGAGAGUCUGAACCAGCCAAGUAGCGUGAAGGAUGACUGCCCUAUGGGUUGUAAACUUCUUUUAUAUGGGAAUAAAAUGUUCCACGUGUGGGAUUUUGUAUGUACCAUAUGAAUAAGGAUCGGCGAACUCCGUGCCAGCAGCCGCGGUAAUACGGAGGUUCCGAGCGUUAUCCGGAUUUAUUGGGUUUAAAGGGAGCGUAGGUGGAUUGUUAAGUCAGUUGUGAAAGUUUGCGGCUCAACCGUAAAAUUGCAGUUGAAACUGGCAGUCUUGAGUACAGUAGAGGUGGGCGGAAUUCGUGGUGUAGCGGUGAAAUGCUUAGAUAUCACGAAGAACUCCGAUUGCGAAGGCAGUUCACUGGACUGCAACUGACACUGAGGCUCGAAAGUGUGGGUAUCAAACAGGAUUAGAUACCCUUGUAGUC